This 439-nucleotide ribosomal RNA is filed under the name uncultured bacterium. RNAcentral describes it as "partial 16S ribosomal RNA". It matches the Rfam family "Bacterial small subunit ribosomal RNA", at positions 339 to 795 of the family's 1533-position model. The record is from RNAcentral.
CUACGGGGUGCUCCAGUGGGGAAUAUUGGACAAUGGACGAAAGUCUGAUCCAGCAAUGCCGCGUGAAUGAUGAAGGCCUUAGGGUUGUAAAGUUCUUUAAGUAGGGAAGAUAAUGACGGUACCUACAGAAUAAGCACCGGCUAACUCCGUGCCAGCAGCCGCGGUAAUACGGAGGGUGCAAGCGUUGUUCGGAAUUACUGGGCGUAAAGCGCGCGUAGGCGGUUUGGUAAGUUGGGAGUGAAAUCCCGGGGCUUAACUCCGGAAUUGCUUUCAAAACUACCAAGCUAGAGUGUGGCAGGGGACAGUGGAAUUCCUAGUGUAGAGGUGAAAUUCGUAGAUAUUAGGAGGAAUACCGGUGGCGAAGGCGACUAUCUGGCCAAAUACUGACGCUGAGGUGCGAAAGCGUGGGGAGCAAACAGGAUUAGAUACCCUAGUAGUC